CAGAACGAACGUUGGCUGCGUGGAUUAGGCAUGCAAGUCGGGGGAAUCCCAGCAAUGGGGGAACCGGCGUAAGGGGCAGUUAUGCAUGGGUACCUACCUUUGGGUUCGGGAUAGCCAUCAGAGAUGGUGGGUAAUACCGGAUGAUGUCGUGAGACCAAAGAUUUAUCGCCCGAAGAGGGGCCCAUGUGAUAUUAGCUAGUUGGUGAGGUAAUGGCUCACCAAGGCGAAGAUGUCUAGCGGGUGUGAGAGCACGACCCGCGCCACUCGCACUGAGACACUGGCGAGACACCUACGGGUGGCUGCAGCCGAGGAUCUUCGGCAAUGAGCGCAAGCUUGACCGAGCGACGCCGCGUGAGCGAUGAAGGCCUUCGGGUUGUAAAGCUCUUUAGUGGGGGAGAAAAGCCAGCAAUGGUGUGAUCUAUCCCAAAAAUAAGCACGGGCUAAGUUCGUGCCAGCAGCCGCGGUAAGACGAACCGUGCGAACGUUGUUCGGAAUCACUGGGCUUAAAGGGAGCGUAGGCGGGCUAUCAAGUCUGGGGUGAAAUCCCGCGGCUCAACCGUGGAACUGCCUCAGAUACUGACGGCCUCGAAGGGAGAUAGGGGCAUGCGGAACUGUAGGUGGAGCGGUGAAAUGCGUUGAUAUCUACAGGAACUCCGGUGGCGAAAGCGGCGUGCUGGAUCUCUUUCUGACGCUGAGGCUCGAAAGCUAGGGGAGCAAACGGGGAUUAGAUUACCCCGGUAGUCCUAGCCCUUAAACGAUGGGUACUAGAUAU
Molecule: ribosomal RNA, 772 nt
Filed under: uncultured Planctomycetota bacterium
Lineage: Bacteria; Pseudomonadati; Planctomycetota
Description: bacterial SSU rRNA
Rfam family: Bacterial small subunit ribosomal RNA
Source: RNAcentral